RNAcentral lists this ribosomal RNA (465 nucleotides) under uncultured bacterium. Its description in RNAcentral is "partial 16S ribosomal RNA". It matches the Rfam family "Bacterial small subunit ribosomal RNA", at positions 28 to 507 of the family's 1533-position model. The record is from RNAcentral.
GACGAACGCUGGCGGCGUGCUUAACACAUGCAAGUCGUACGGUAAGGCCCUUUCUGGGGUACACGAGUGGCGAACGGGUGAGUAACACGUGAGUAACCUGCCCACAACUUUGGGAUAACGCUAGGAAACUGGUGCUAAUACUGGAUAUGUGCUCCUUCUGCAUGGUGGGGGUUGGAAAGCUCCGGCGGUUUUGGAUGGACUCGCGGCCUAUCAGCUUGUUGGUGGGGUAGUGGCCUACCAAGGCGGCGACGGGUAGCCGGCCUGAGAGGGUGACCGGCCAAAUUGGGAAUGAGAUACGGCCCAGACUCCUACGGGAGGCAGAAGUGGGGAAUAUUGAGAAAUGGGCGCAAGCCUGAUGCAGCAACGCCGCGUGCGGGAUGACGGCCUUAGGGUUGUAAAACGCUUUCAGCAGGGACGAAGCUUUUUGUGACGGUACCUGCAGAAGAAGCACCGGCUAACUACGUG